RNAcentral lists this ribosomal RNA (426 nucleotides) under uncultured Halomonas sp. Its description in RNAcentral is "bacterial SSU rRNA". It matches the Rfam family "Bacterial small subunit ribosomal RNA", at positions 355 to 774 of the family's 1533-position model. The record is from RNAcentral. Lineage: Bacteria; Pseudomonadati; Pseudomonadota; Gammaproteobacteria; Oceanospirillales; Halomonadaceae.
UGGGGAAUAUUGGACAAUGGGCGAAAGCCUGAUCCAGCCAUGCCGCGUGUGUGAAGAAGGCCCUCGGGUUGUAAAGCACUUUCAGUGGGGAAGAAAGCCUUGGGAUUAAUACUCCCGAGGAAGGACAUCACCCACAGAAGAAGCACCGGCUAACUCCGUGCCAGCAGCCGCGGUAAUACGGAGGGUGCGAGCGUUAAUCGGAAUUACUGGGCGUAAAGCGCGCGUAGGCGGUCUGAUAAGCCGGUUGUGAAAGCCCCGGGCUCAACCUGGAACGGCAUCCGGAACUGUCAGGCUAGAGUGCAGGAGAGGAAGGUAGAAUUCCCGGUGUAGCGGUGAAAUGCGUAGAGAUCGGGAGGAAUACCAGUGGCGAAGGCGGCCUUCUGGACUGACACUGACGCUGAGGUGCGAAAGCGUGGGUAGCAAACA